GAAGGCUGGAUCUGCUGUGAAGCAGGGGUCUGCAGAGCUGCAUUGGAUGUACCCCUCUGCUGGCUUCAUCAUGGGAGUAGUUGAGGGAGGAACUUCAAUCUGUCAAAGCUGUAAGAGGCAGGAAUUAAAUGCCUCCUGUACACAGGGCAAAAACCUGUCCUGGGCCUGAGCUGGCUGAAGGCAGCGUGGCUUUGCUGAAGUUAGCGGUAGGUCUUUGGAUCAGGCUUUGUACUGUCCUGUGUCUCAGGAAUAAAAUUAGACUAGUUUAAUGUUUGUGUAAGGUGUGCGCUUUUUUUUCCAACGCAAUACCACAGAGAAUGAGAUUUCUCCCUGUGUUUUGACAUCUCCUGUCCUUACUGAUCCCCGUUCAGGUGUGUUCUCCCUGCAUCUCCCUGGCGUGUAUUUGCCUGAGCAGGCAUGCUGACUCCUGAGCAAGUUCCAGCCUGCCCCCCAAAUUUAGGCUGGCUUAGGUGGGAGCAGAGCCUGUUAAAGAGGCUUCUGCAGAUGUCUGACUUGCUUUUCAUUUCUUCCCUUGCUAAGAGCAACAUCACCAGCUCUGGGCUCCCCCGGCAUCACUUCAGCGCAAGGACCCGUCUGACACUACUUAUGCCAGGUCCUGCCUCCCGCGCAGGAGAAGCAGUCUGCAACUUUUGCUGCUCCAGGCAGCACUUCAUCUCUGAGCAAGCAGAGCUCUGCAGAGUGGAUUUGGGGAGAACUGCACCCGGAGCAGCAACCCAAGGGUGGAAGAAGACCCCAAUGCUCUGUUGGCUGGCUGCAGUCUGCUGGGGGCUCUGGAGUGCUCCUGAAGGUGAUGUGAGAUGUCCUAUGGUGCUGCUUCCACCCUGGACCCCUUGGCAGCACAACCUGCUAGCCGAGCAGCGUUUGGCCACCUUGCUCUGGAAGGGGUUGCAAGAGAGUGCGGUGAAGUGGUAAUAUGGUGCACUAUGAUGUCUUGGAUGUAGGAUGGAGAUCAACAAGCUGGCACUCAGCGGAGGGGUAAGUAACUUCCCUGUACCUGUAUAUUUUUCUCACCUGGCACAAAAAACCUACUGCCAAUGUCUGUACACAGUACAAGUUUUUAAUUAACGUAUGAUACAGUGAUUAAGGAUAACUGAAGGCAAAACAUAAGUUUAAACAAAUCCAUGUUCAGAUCGUAGUUCCCUGGAGUCUGAGGAUGGAAGGGAUCCACUGAAGUAAUCUGACCACUAAGCAGCAAUUCAGUUACUCUAAUAACUUGCUGGGCUGAACCAGAAUGCCAGAAAGGUGAAUCACCUUGAUUUGAAGAUGAAAUAAGCCACCAUUAGCUAGGGACUGAAUUUCAGUCCCUAAUGUCCUGUUAAAUCUUCUGUUUAGUUUAAGCUGGAUCUCUGGAGUUGGCCUUCAGCCAGUGGCUGCAGCAGCAUCCAAGGCUUCUCACUGGGAAGAGGGUCCUGUGCUGUAAUCAAGUUAUAUCUGAAGGCAGCUUGGCUUGGCAAUAAGGGCACUGUCAGCGGGAUGUGCUCAAGUGCUCCCCAAGUGUCAGUAGAGCCCUGACCUCUCAACAAGAGUAAGCAGGGCUGAAACUGCAGCAAGAAUAGCUCAGCUGUUAGCUGCUGUUCCUGUGCUCCAGAGAGCUUUCAUCAGCGAGACCCAUCCUUAAUGAACUUUAGGUGUAAUCAUGGUUCUGAAGUGGUGACGGCUCACAUGGUGUAGAGGCAGCAGUUGCCCCUUGUGUGGCAGGGUGCCAGUCUGUCUUCAAAAACUGUUCAGUCAUGCUGCCAGCAUUCCUGUGGGAAGCCUUGGAUUGUUGGCUUCUAGAUAUGUGCCCUUUAAUGAGGUUGUUCAGUUUAAUUUUUCCAUUCAACUAUCAAGUCUCAACUGUCUGGGCAGUGCCCAGAAUUCCCUUGUCCCUGUAGUAGUUGUGAAUAGGUGUGUAUUUACAGCCGUUAAUCUCCCUGGGGUAUGUCAGAGGAAUACCCACCUGUGCUUGCCAAAUCUUAAGCAUUUGGCUCAAACCUCAUGUUUAGAGAGAAUUUCCAGGCCUGCCCUAACCUGUGGUGAUACCAUAAGGCCAACCCAAAGGAAUUGAUGUGCAGCGUGGAGCUGGCACAGCCACAGAUGUGCACCUGGGGAUGCUCCUCUCGAGCUAC
Molecule: long non-coding RNA, 2129 nt
Organism: Oxyura jamaicensis (ruddy duck)
Lineage: Eukaryota; Metazoa; Chordata; Aves; Anseriformes; Anatidae
Exons: 4
Source: RefSeq, a predicted model, not a curated record